UUACAAAUUCAGCCUCUGUCUUCUUGAGGAGCUUAACCGCCUAACACCACAGACGAGAGCUCCUGGAAAAAAACAAGUUCUGCUCGGGCAGCAGGAAGAGAGCUGACGCGCUUCAAACUGGUUGGUUUUGUUCCGGGGUUUGGCUCUUCCUCCAACUCUACGGCUGCAUCUACCUGAAAGGGACGGCUCGUUUUUUUUCUCCUCCUAACCGCCACUCCAGAGGUCAACUGUCCUUCAGCAGGAGCAGGAAAGAAGAAGACUAGCCAACGGGGAGUCAAGAGCUCUCAUACAAUGAUGCCUCUUGUCUUGGGUUUCUGACUCGGUGACCACACCUGGGAAAGACUGGGUAAAUUCACAAACGUGAUCCCUUCUUUGUCUUCAUUCUCCAUCUUUAAGACUUGAGCUGUCGUCAUAACCUGUUGCUCAGCGACGGUAGAGUUAAAACUUUAAGGACAUUUGUUCAUCGGCUAAGAUCAGGAAAUGUGCGGCAAACAAAUUAGGUCAUCGUACGAAGCCAUCUGCGAUUGUGUGCCGACAUAGGAGGGUCUAGGUAGUUUCGAUGGGAAGCGAAAAUAAUGCGUAUCGAAUUCCAGCUCCUUUUAACCAGAGAGAAAGAAGAGGAAACAAUAGAAGCCAACGCUCAUUCCUAAACUGGAUAGACCAGUUGGGGCAGGUAAAGGCAAACUGCCAGACUUGUCAAAGGAUAUGAGGACAGAGGCUGACUCCUUCUUUUAGAGUGUUAAAGUGUGCUUUACGAGGACACAACCACGGUAUGAAACUACUUUACAAAUCAAUAUUCUAAUAGUAACACCUGAUUAGUGUGUUUAGUGUGAACUUUUCUGAGUUCAGAACUCAUUUGGCAACUUUUCUGUACAACCUGUUGAACUGUAAAGCAUCGUUUAAUCUUUCAAGAUAUUCUUUAGGGUUUUUAUAUUUCGGUUUACCUGCUACUGCUUUCCUUUUUGGCUUUUAAGGUAGAGCUUUGAUAGUCUACUGCCUGUUUCAUGAGCUUUUGACAUGAAAAAAAAGGAAGUCUGUUAUGAAGUGGAUGUGUGUCGGACUUAAAAUGUCUGCUCAUGCGUUUCCCUUGCCUCUGAGGUUUGCUUAGGACAGACAGCAGCGUUGGACUUAUCAGAGCAGAUCAUUUCCACUACACAGAAAGCAUACAUAAUUGGUUUAAAGUUUAAAGUUUUCAAGCUCUUCAGAUCGUUUUAAGCGGACGAGGACUGUUGUAGUCUGGGAAGGAGAAGGGAAAAUGGAGGGAAAAUGUCGACCGCAUACUGUACAGCGGCGACUGCAGAGCGAGGUGGAGGAUUGUGAUUGGUGGAAAGAACAACAUUUGUGCAUUUCUUUCAUACACCUGAAUAGCUGCGAGUCACAUGAGUGCUCUGCCAGUGUAUGGCAGGCAGCAGGGCGGGAAGUGCAGAGUGGGAUUUCAACAGAAAGAGAGCUUUAAUGAUUGGAAGGCCAGACGAAACGGUGGGCUGAUUUGACGUUGUUUGUUCAUGUUUGAGUAACAGGUUUGAAGUAGGAGUGUGCAGGCCUCAUUGCCUCAUGGGGGUGAGAGGUUGAGUUAAAGCUGCAGUUUGAUUCAGCUGAUAGGGUGCAUGACAGUGCAUUAUGGGCCAGGGCCAUUUUAAAAAGUUAAUGCUAUGCUAACAUUUGAGAAUGCUAUUUACCCUUUUUGAUAAGAGGCCAUGAUAGUGAGGCAAUAUGAUUCAAUAUAUUUUCUUCUUACAGUUAGAAAUAAUAAUAAUAAUACGAAGAAUUUCCUAUUUUUGGCAACAUUGAUUCAACUUUAACAGGUGUAAUGUUAUUUUUGGUGCCUCCAGGGACAUGACAUCAUGCAUAUGAAAUUAUUCAUAGCAGUAUGAAUAGACAGAAUAUACACGUAAAAGCGGCCUGUCAGUAAGGUGAGGGGUGGCUUAAAUUAAAAUAUGUAAAAAGUUACUGAGAAGAAAAGGAAAAGUCCCUUUUGAUAAUCAAAUUGGUUGAAUAUUUUAGUGCUUCAUUUGAAAUAUUCAAAACCAAAAGGUAAAAGGACACUUAGCCACGGGGAAGGAGCUACUGUCUCUAAAAUGACAAAUGUAAAUCACUAAGUAUAUAUUUGAAGGCACAGCCGAGUAGCUGCAGUGGCACAUGGAUGAUAAGCAGUAUUGUGGCCUAAAUAUCAUGGUUACUAGGCCGUCCCUCUGCAGUCUGAAGGCCCAAUUAGGUGGCACUGAGAUAAGGUGCGGAGUUAAAUAAGGUUUUGGGUUUCCCUGCCAUUGUUUUCUCACAAAGACAGCAACUAUUGAUUAAGGGCCAGGCCAGUUUACCUAUCGGGCUGUUGACUUCACAGUAGAGUCACAUUCCAGCACAGAGGGCAGAGUUACCUGAUCACGCCUCACUUCCAACAGGCAAAAAGCGUGGGCAGCCGUAAGCGGUUAAGACUCCCACUGCACUGAGCACCGUGUACAACAAUGGGGAAAGCAGUUUUUAACCACAAGCAGAAGAAGAUGUGUUUGGACAAACGGAGGACAAAGACCUAGUUUGUUGGAUGUAGCUGGUUAGAUAUUCAGAAAGAGGGCCUGCAGCACUGGUUUAUAAUGCUGAUGAUUAACUAAAUAGAGUCUGGGAGAGCAGGUCUGCUUGGCUUUCUCAUUUCAUGGGGGCCUGACUGACCAGGAGGAAGACGGAGCGUUCUCAGGCAGCGGAGUGGAAAUUCAAGAUCUUUCUUUUUUUUUCUCUCUCUCUCUCUUUCUUUUUUCAGCCCACUCCCUCCAAACAUACUCACUUUCCUUUGGUUUUGUUACAUUCUUUCCUUGGGGUACCUUUCAUGACGGUAAGGUUACAGGUGCAUUCUCCAUUUUCCUUCUCCACCUUCUUUCCCUGAACUUUUCCCCUCCCUUAUACUCGCUUUUCUUUCUCUCUCCUUCUCCCUCCCCCUCUCCCUCACUCUCGUGCUCUACUUUUGCAUUGCUCGCAGGAUGACUGGAAACCUGUUCUUUCUUAAUGAAUGUCUCAUCUUUUCAUUUGAGCUUCAAUCUUUUGAUAGAAAGGUAGUCAUUUUGUAAAAGAUUUUAAAAAGAUUCGUAUUGCUUUAAACAAUCAAAUCUUUGUUGAAAGAAAAGGGGAACUCCCCAGUGUUAGCCUACGCGUCAUUUAAUGAAGUAUGUUGCAUAUCUAAUGUGACAUAAUAAAGUAAAGUGUCUAGUUAGACUUACUACAUAAUGCACUAUGAUAUUUAAUUAAUGUUUAAUUUAGAGGAUAAAAAUGCGCUUUAAAAUGUCCUUAUGGGGUGUGAGGAUUUCACGCGGUGUACCUGUGAAUGAUCCACGUUAUUCUGUAAACGAGGGCUGUUUCAGUGACCUUCUGCAUACACAGCGUCGACUCAGGUCGAGCUGAACAGCAUUCCAUCAGCCUUUCAUCACUCAGCAAACACAAAGACAACGGCCUGAGAGGUCCACCAACGGAAAACAGAAAAAAAAAUUUGGCUUUUCCUUUCUUCCACACCAUAAAACAUCUGUCGAAACAGACUUGACAACAUUGCUUUACUCGAGACAAAACAGUAUGUUGCAAUGUAAAAGACAAAAAAAAAAAAAAAAAAAAAAAAAAAAAUCUGCCUGGGUGUGAUGAAACAGAAACAGCUCCCCGAGGCUGAUGUGCUUUUAACUCUGCGACGUUUUUAAAUGAAUGCGUGCAAUGUGUGGUGUUUGAAAUUAUUAACUGCCAUGUAUUGUGUGAAGAGCAGGCCUCCCAACCUUGCCGUGCCAUAGAUUUAGACUAGUCGGAACAGGUUUGGGCAAUCAUUAACAACUACUGUGGCCCAGUCUUCUGUGACAGCGAGUUUAAGAUGAAAACCACAACAAGGGCUCAGCAGUUAUUCUAUGGAGAGGUGCUCUCCAAAUAUGGGCCUCCCGACUCCUAUUUACAGUGCUAUGUUUCGGCUAAACAUGGCUCAGUUUUACUUCAAACUGUGCCGCCAUAAAACUACAUACCUUAAGUAGAUAUUUUAGGCUAUACUUUGUGUUGAAUACUCACUUACAUUCAUGUGUACUCUAAUUAUUUAAGGUUGAGCUCCCUUUUUUUUCUUCCAGACAAAGGUAUAUACACUUAGAUGUACUACUCACUGUUAAAUCUGCCUCAUUCAUUCAUUCAUUCAUUCAUUAAGCUUUAAUAACUAUCACUGAUAUCACAUUAUGUUCUACAACUAAAGAUAUCCCAACCCCUUGUAUCAGUGUAGUAAUGAGAUGUUAUGUUUGGGUGAUUAUCUCCAUCUUACGAGGCAGCAUUGGAUAUCAUCACUUUCUCUAAUACUGCCUGGUAAUGAUGAUGAUAGUCAUCUGCCGACUGCAAACAGCUUUAGCAACGUUAGCAUCAGUGUGCUCUGGGCCUGGGCCCCAGACCGGCUCGAACACUUCAGCAGUAGCAGCAGAAAUGGCUCUCAGGAUCCAUCUUACCUGACAGUGCUGGAUUGUACAACUGUUGUUCUAACACUGUCUGGUAACGAUGUUUCCUGGGUGACUCUGUGGUCUCCGGUGAUAGUUGCUCAUCAAGUGUUAAAUCCAAAAAUGUGAAUGACUGUAGGACUCUUUAGAUGUUCAAGGGUAAGAAGCAGGCCUGGCUUUAUGUUUUGGGGUUGCAAAACAGUUGUUAGGUGUCUUACUUUUUACUCUGAAGUAAAUUCCAAGAAAGGGUUAACUUUUUUUGUUUGCCAGACACCUGUCUGUACAGAUGUCAGAGGCUGUAUGCCGAUCAGUCACACAGAAAAAGGUUACAGGUGAUGUCAGACAGUAUUAGUUUAUGUAAAUCUACAUGAACAUUUACAGUAUGUCUUAUUUUGAAAACACUUUGAGAUUGCUAAAGGAGAAAGAGGAGGUCUUUAAUCCGGUAAUGGUUCUAAAGGUCAACUUUUAUGUUUUUUUCACUUCUUUACAAACUUCCCUGUCCUUUUUUUUUUUUUUUUUACUUUUAUGGCAAACCCACCCCACCCAAGUUAAAGAAUAGCAGUCGGUUGAUGGUUCCACCGGUCCUGCAGGGCCUUAUUUCCCUGUUCCCUCCCCUUAACAGUGUUGGUCUUUGUGUUGUGUGGCAGUGAUUGGUCCGACUAGCCUUACCUGCGUGGCACAUCCUGAAACUGACACGAGCUCACCUGAGAGUGCUUUACUGGUAAAAAAAAACGGAGAUACAGAUGCAGUGGCCUCCUCCCAGCUUUCUAAGCUUUUAUCCACAAAAAGACAAAUAAUACUUUAGUGCUUUAAGAGGAGGCAAAAUGGACUCUCAACAAUAAAUAAAUAAUGAUGAUAAACUUUUAGAAUAUUACUGAAGUGAAGCUGUUAGACAUUUUUCAUCAAUGUCUGGACUAAAAUGUGAAUUUAAUGGGCAAAGCCUUCAAACAGACUUGAGAAACAGGCAAAUAAUAGACAUGGAGCAAGCAGAGGCCUAGUGUUUGUUUAAGGAGGGAGAAUUACCCCGCAAAUAUUGAGCCGCACCUUUAUUUGCCCACCUAGCUCCAUUAUCCAAGCCACAGAAACAUGAAAUAGCUUUUUUCUCCUCUCUCCAGUUGUCCCUUUUCUUUGUGUUGGUGUCACACAUUUGUGUAUUCAUGUAAUAAUAUAUAGGGACUGGAACAGAGAGAAUUUACGGAGCUCACUUUUGCUUCAUGCCUCGGUCUGUUUGCUCAUGGCUAUAUUCUUUUCUCUGCACGCUUGGCCAGUUUAAAUGUAUGAAUGAGUGAAACGUGUAGCAUGUACAGAAUCUGCGAUUGCAACAAAAGAGGAACUGCUCAUUUCAACCUGUUUCUGCUACACUGCUCUGUUCCCUCCAGCUCUCUUCUUCCUCUUUGCACAGGUGAAAGCUCAGAGGUCAUCCUUCUCAGCCUGUUGAUAGGCGUCUUACCAGACAUGGUUAGAUGUAAUUAUUGGUGUCUAAUACUGUCUGGUAAUGCCGUCCAUUAAAUGGCAUUACCUUCCGCUCUCUUACUUCCCCUCCCUCUCUCGCUCUCGUGCAUCUGACAUGCACUGUAUUAUUGACAAAGGGCAGUCACACAUCACCAUAUUUAUAGCGGUGGCAGAUGGGGCUGAAUGAUGAUGACUAUGGAACUAUGAUCCUUGCACUGGAAGAGUGAUUGAUUUCUUGGGGUUUCUUCCACGUGACUUGAGUCAAAGUUUCUUCACUGAGCAGCAGUAUUGGAUAUUCUUCUUGUCGUAGGCUUCCUUGAUGAAUGCUGUGCCGUAAAAUUAGCCUCUGUCAGGAAUGUUAAUGUGAAUGCCAUGUAAAAAAAAAAAAAAAAAAAAAAAAGGUUUCUCGAAAAUGCUGUGACUUUUAUCCGUUGAAAGAUCUGCUUUCUUCCUCUUACUGCAAUAACUGAAUUCCUCCAGGGGACUUGGCUUUUGUCCAGGUACAGUAAAACAAUGCACACAGUUCAUUAUCUGUGACACAAUCUGUACAUCAUGUUCAGUGUAUUAACUGUAAUGUGAUUUUAUGAAAUGUAAAAAAACAGAUUCAAUAAAGUGGGGUGAAAUUUAAAA
Epinephelus fuscoguttatus (brown-marbled grouper) is the source of this 6512-nucleotide long non-coding RNA. RefSeq lists it as uncharacterized. Lineage: Eukaryota; Metazoa; Chordata; Actinopteri; Perciformes; Serranidae. The transcript has 2 exons. The record is from RefSeq and is a predicted model, not a curated record.